RNAcentral lists this ribosomal RNA (527 nucleotides) under Enterococcus cecorum. Its description in RNAcentral is "bacterial SSU rRNA". It matches the Rfam family "Bacterial small subunit ribosomal RNA", at positions 1013 to 1533 of the family's 1533-position model. The record is from RNAcentral. Lineage: Bacteria; Bacillati; Bacillota; Bacilli; Lactobacillales; Enterococcaceae.
UUUCCCUUCGGGGACAAAGUGACAGGUGGUGCAUGGUUGUCGUCAGCUCGUGUCGUGAGAUGUUGGGUUAAGUCCCGCAACGAGCGCAACCCUUAUUGUUAGUUGCCAUCAUUCAGUUGGGCACUCUAGCGAGACUGCCGCAGACAAUGCGGAGGAAGGUGGGGAUGACGUCAAAUCAUCAUGCCCCUUAUGACCUGGGCUACACACGUGCUACAAUGGAGAGUACAACGAGUCGCAAAGCCGCGAGGCUAAGCCAAUCUCUUAAAGCUCUUCUCAGUUCGGAUUGUAGGCUGCAACUCGCCUACAUGAAGCCGGAAUCGCUAGUAAUCGCGGAUCAGCACGCCGCGGUGAAUACGUUCCCGGGUCUUGUACACACCGCCCGUCACACCACGAGAGUUUGUAACACCCAAAGCCGGUGCGGUAACCGCAAGGAGCCAGCCGUCUAAGGUGGGAUAGAUGAUUGGGGUGAAGUCGUAACAAGGUAGCCGUAUCGGAAGGUGCGGCUGGAUCACCUCCUUUCUAAGGAA